GACGAACGCUGGCGGCGUGCUUAACACAUGCAAGUCGAACGGAAAGGCCCUGCUUUUGUGGGGUGCUCGAGUGGCGAACGGGUGAGUAAAACGUGAGUAACCUGCCCUUGACUUUGGGAUAACUUCAGGAAACUGGGGCUAAUACCGGAUAGGAGCUCCUGCUGCAUGGGGGGGGUUGGAAAGUUUCGGCGGUUGGGGAUGGACUCGCGGCUUAUCAGCUUGUUGGUGGGGUAGUGGCUUACCAAGGCUUUGACGGGUAGCCCGCCUGAGAGGGUGACCGGCCACAUUGGGACUGAGAUACGGCCCAGACUCCUACGGGAGGCAGAAGUGGGGAAUAUUGCACAAUGGGCGGAAGCCUGAUGCAGCAACGCCGCGUGCGGGAUGACGGCCUUCGGGUUGUAAACCGCUUUCGCCUGUGACGAAGCGUGAGUGACGGUAAUGGGUAAAGAAGCACCGGCUAACUACGUG
This 468-nucleotide ribosomal RNA is filed under the name uncultured bacterium. RNAcentral's name for it is "partial 16S ribosomal RNA". It matches the Rfam family "Bacterial small subunit ribosomal RNA", at positions 28 to 507 of the family's 1533-position model. The record is from RNAcentral.